This 460-nucleotide ribosomal RNA is filed under the name uncultured bacterium. RNAcentral's name for it is "partial 16S ribosomal RNA". It matches the Rfam family "Bacterial small subunit ribosomal RNA", at positions 339 to 795 of the family's 1533-position model. The record is from RNAcentral.
CUACGGGUUGCUCCAGUAAGGAAUAUUGCGCAAUGGAGGCAACUCUGACGCAGCCAUGCCGCGUGCAGGACUGAAGGCCUUAUGGGUCGUAAACUGCUUUUAUUUAGGAAUAAACUCUUGUACGUGUACGAGACUGAAGGUACUAAAUGAAUAAGCACCGGCUAACUCCGUGCCAGCAGCCGCGGUAAUACGGAGGGUGCAAGCGUUAUCCGGAUUUAUUGGGUUUAAAGGGUGCGCAGGCGGACUAUUAAGUCAGAGGUGAAGUCCCGGAGCUCAACUUCGGAACUGCCUUUGAUACUGGUAGUCUUGAAUACGGUUGAAGUAGGCGGAAUGUAGCAUGUAGCGGUGAAAUGCAUAGAGAUGCUACAGAACACCGAUCGCGAAGGCAGCUUACUAAGCCGAUAUUGACGCUCAGGCACGAAAGCGUGGGGAGCGAAUAGGAUUAGAUACCCUUGUAGUC